CAGCCGCCACGGUAAUACGUAGGUGGCAAGCGUUGUCCGGAAUUAUUGAGCGUAAAGGGCUCGCAGGCGGUUUCUUAAGUCUGAUGUGAAAGCCCCCGGCUCAACCGGGGAGGGUCAUUGGAAACUGGGAAACUUGAGUGCAGAAGAGGAGAGUGGAAUUCCACGUGUAGCGGUGAAAUGCGUAGAGAUGUGGAGGAACACCAGUGGCGAAGGCGACUCUCUGGUCUGUAACUGACGCUGAGGAGCGAAAGCGUGGGGAGCGAACAGGAUUAGAUACCCCAGUAGUCCCUGUCUCUUAUAC
This 301-nucleotide ribosomal RNA is filed under the name uncultured bacterium. RNAcentral's name for it is "partial 16S ribosomal RNA". It matches the Rfam family "Bacterial small subunit ribosomal RNA", at positions 509 to 807 of the family's 1533-position model. The record is from RNAcentral.